CCCUUUGGGUGUGACUGCGUACCUUUUGUAUAAUGGGUCAGCGACUUAUAUUCUGUAGCAAGGUUAACCGAAUAGGGGAGCCGGAGGGAAACCGAGUCUUAACCGGGCGUUAAGUUGCAGGGUAUAGACCCGAAACCCGGUGAUCUAGCCAUGGGCAGGUUGAAGGUUGGGUAACACUAACUGGAGGACCGAACCGACUAAUGUUGAAAAAUUAGCGGAUGACCUGUGGCUGGGGGUGAAAGGCCAAUCAAACCGGGAGAUAGCUGGUUCUCCCCGAAAGCUAUUUAGGUAGCGCCUCGUGAAUUCAUCUCCGGGGGUAGAGCACUGUUUCGGCUAGGGGGCCAUCCCGGCUUACCAACCCGAUGCAAACUGCGAAUACCGGAGAAUGUUAUCACGGGAGACACACGGCGGGUGCUAACGUCCGUCGUGAAGAGGGAAACAACCCAGACCGCCAGCUAAGGUCCCAAAGUCAUGGUUAAGUGGGAAACGAUGUGGGAAGGCCCAGACAGCCAGGAUGUUGGCUUAGAAGCAGCCAUCAUUUAAAGAAAGCGUAAUAGCUCACUGGUCGAGUCGGCCUGCGCGGAAGAUGUAACGGGGCUAAACCAUGCACCGAAGCUGCGGCAGCGACACUGUGUGUUGUUGGGUAGGGGAGCGUUCUGUAAGCC
Molecule: ribosomal RNA, 665 nt
Filed under: Salmonella enterica
Lineage: Bacteria; Pseudomonadati; Pseudomonadota; Gammaproteobacteria; Enterobacterales; Enterobacteriaceae
Also listed under: 1 other name
Description: partial 23S ribosomal RNA
Rfam family: Bacterial large subunit ribosomal RNA
Source: RNAcentral